GACGAACGCUGGCGGCGUGCUUAACACAUGCAAGUCGAACGGAAAGGCCCUGCUUUUGUGGGGUGCUCGAGUGGCGAACGGGUGAGUAACACGUGAGUAACCUGCCCUUGACUUUGGGAUAACUUCAGGAAACUGGGGCUAAUACCGGAUAGGAGCUCCUGCUGCAUGGUGGGGGUUGGAAAGUUUCGGCGGUUGGGGAUGGACUCGCGGCUUAUCAGCUUGUUGGUGGGGUAGUGGCUUACCAAGGCUUUGACGGGUAGCCGGCCUGAGAGGGUGACCGGCCACAGUGGGACAGGGAUACGGCCCGGACUCCUACGGGAGGCAGCAGUGGGGAAUAUUGCACAAUGGGCGGAAGCCUGAUGCAGCAACGCCGCGUGCGGGAUGACGGCCUUCGGGUUGUAAACCGCUUUCGCCUGUGACGAAGCGUGAGGGACGGGAAUGGGUAAAGAAGCACCGGCUAACUACG
Molecule: ribosomal RNA, 466 nt
Filed under: uncultured bacterium
Lineage: Bacteria
Description: partial 16S ribosomal RNA
Rfam family: Bacterial small subunit ribosomal RNA
Source: RNAcentral